UCAGGUUUUCCCUGUUCCCGCGUGUUCGGCCAAUUUUUUGUUGUUGUUGUUUUGUUUUUGUUUUUGUUUUUGAGUCAAUUUUCCAGACAUCUUUAAUUAGCAAUAUGUUUAAGUAGUUACAAGCCUUUCCUUCUUUUCUUGUGACAGUUUGGGUUGAAUUUCUAUCGUUUGCAGCCUGUCACUGUAAGGCACAAACAUGAUCACGCAAGAUGCGAUAGUAGAUUUAAGCCAGUUGUUUUUAAGUUUGUGUUUAAGGAGAAACUAACAAUGAAAACGGCCUCGUUGACGGAGGAAAAGUUGGAAUGCAGCCUCUGGUGCUGUUUGAGCGAUCCCUCUCCCCGGGGCCUGGCCGCGCGCUGCUGUGUUCUGGAAGGGCUCAUUGUACAGUCAAGGCGGCAGGGCCUUCUUCUGUCACCCAUGCUGGAGUGCAGUAGCAUGAUCACAGCUCACGGUAGCCUCCACCUUCUGGGCUCAAUCCUCCUACCUCAGCCUUCCAAGUAGCUGGGACUACAGUCUUGAGGAUCCAUUUUCUGAGACGGUGAUGGGAAAGAUGUUGGUUGUCAAGUGGAAUCUCAGCAGUCAUUUUCAGACAAAGUUAGAGAAAACAAGUAUGGAAGAUGCCUGAUUCUCAAAGAGUCAUCCAGUCUUGGGAUUACCGCCUACGUCCAUGGAAGUGAAAGUCCUCUUUUUCUUUGUACCACUUACUGAGGCUGAAGAGGAAGAGGAAGAGCAGGUGUUGGUCUUGAUGUCUCAGGGCAGGCAGAGGUGGAAGAGAAUCUGUGUGUAAAGCACCUGCACAGUUCAAACCCAUGCUGUUCGAGGGUCAACUGCAUUCUUGAAAAUUGCUAAAAGACUCCAUUCCUUGCAUCCCAGGGAUGAAGCCCACUUGAUCAUGGUGGAUAAGCUGUUUGAUGUGCUGCUGGAUUCGGUUUGCCAGUAUUUUAUUGAGGAUUUUUGCAUCGAUGUUCAUCACAUUAAUUCAAGAUGGAUUAAAGACUUAAAUGUUAGACCUAAAACCAUAAAAACCCUAGAAGAAAACCUAGGCAAUACCAUUCAGGACAUAGGCAUGGGCAAGGACUUCCUGUCUAAAACACCAAAAGCAAUGGCAACAAAAGCCAAAAUUGACAAAUGGGAUCUAAUUAAACUAAAUAACUUCUGCACAGCAAAAGAAACUACCAUCAGAGUGAACAGGCAACCUACAGAAUGGGAGAAAAUUGUUGUAAUCUACUCAUCUGACAAAGGGCUAAUAUCCAGAAUCUACAAUGAACUCAAACAAAUUUACAAGAAAAAAACAAACAACCCCAUCAAAAAGUGGGCGAAGGAUAUGAACAGACACUUCUGAAAAGAAGACAUUUAUGCAGCCAAAAGACACAUGAAAAAAUGCUCAUCAUCACUGGCCAUCAGAGAAAUGCAAAUCAAAACCGCAAUGAGAUACCAUCUCACACCAAUUAGAAUGGCAAUCAUUAAAAAGUCAGGAAACAACAAGUGCUGGAGAGGAUGUGGAGAAAUAGGAACACUUUUACACUGUUGGUGGGACUGUAAACUAGUUCAACCAUUGUGGAAGACAGUGCGGCGAUUCCUCAGGGAUCUAGAACUAGAAAUAACAUUUGACCCAGCCAUCCCAUUACUGGGUAUAUACCCAAAGGAUUACAAAUCAUGCUGCUAUAAAGACACAAGCACAUGAAUGCUUGUUUAUUGUGGCACUAUUCACAAUAGCAAAGACUUGGAACCAACCCAGAUGUCCAACAAUGAUAGACUGGAUCAAGAAAAUGUGGCACAUAGACACCAUGGAAUACUAUGCAGCCAUAAAAAAGGAUGA
This 1819-nucleotide long non-coding RNA is filed under the name Homo sapiens (human). Its description in RNAcentral is "novel transcript". Lineage: Eukaryota; Metazoa; Chordata; Mammalia; Primates; Hominidae. The record is from RNAcentral.